AGGAUUUUGCGAUGUUUUAGAAUCCGGCAACUAUUGAGCAAGCUUUGUGGCAAAACCCGUUAUCACGGCUGAACUGGAACGAUAUUGCGUAUUUCUACGAAUACGAACCAGAACUAUUCGCUUCUGGCGAUCUUCGGAAGGCUUUGGAGAGUUAUCUAGCUGCAGACUAUAAUCCAGCCGAGGAUGCCGUUCAAGGGAUUCCGAACUCUUUGAACUAUGAAGCGAAACGUUAAAGGCCGAGGUUCCUAAUGUUAGAGAAUUAAUCGUAAAAAAGUAGUAUAUUUAAGUGAAUAAAGGGCAACAUACUCUAAAAA
RNA transcript from Dendroctonus ponderosae (mountain pine beetle), 314 nucleotides. RefSeq lists it as uncharacterized. The record is from RefSeq and is a predicted model, not a curated record. The transcript has 2 exons. Lineage: Eukaryota; Metazoa; Arthropoda; Insecta; Coleoptera; Curculionidae.